Molecule: ribosomal RNA, 3106 nt
Filed under: Parcubacteria group bacterium GW2011_GWC2_42_12
Lineage: Bacteria
Description: bacterial LSU rRNA
Rfam family: Bacterial large subunit ribosomal RNA
Source: RNAcentral
AUUAAGGGUAUAUGGUGAAUGCCUUGACUCAAGAAGACGAUGAAGGACGUAGCAGCCUGCGAUAAGCCUCGGUUAGGUGGCAAGCAACCUUUGAUCCGAGGAUUUCCGAAUGGGGAAACCUAUUCCGAUUCAUAUCGGAAUGUCCGCCAGCUGAAUACAUAGGUUGGUGAGACGACUACCCGGUGAACUGAAACAUCUUAGUAGCCGGAGGAAAAGAAAAUAAAUUCCCCGAGUAGUGGCGAGCGAAAGGGGAUCAGUCUAAACCUGUAACUUUCCUAGUUGAAGCGAGCUGGAAAGCUCCGCCAGAGCGGGUGAUAGCCCCGUAAGCCAAAGGAGUUAUUACUCUACGAUAACAUUCUUAAGUACUGCGGGACUCGUGAAAUCCCGUACGAAACCGGGUCGACUAUGACCCAAGACUAAAUACUUCUUGAGAUCGAUAGUGAACAAGUACCGUGAGGGAAAGGUGAAAAGCAUCCCGGUAAGGGAGAUGAAAUAGUAUCUGAAACCAUAUACUUACAAAGAGUCGGAGCGGUGUUGCACAUUGAAUAGUAUUUAUUUUGUAUUGAAUAGUGGUUUUGACAUAAAGUCAGGUCCGUCAAAUAGCAGAGAACGCGAGGAUUUAUCGCAAGCGAUUGCGACUCGUGACGGCGUGCCUAUUGAGGAAUGAGUCAACGAGUUUGCUGUAUGUGGCUCACAUAAUCUCGUUAAACGAGAGCAUGUAAAGUGAAAGCGAGGGUUAAUAGCCCGUCUCUUACUUUUUAGAAAGCAGGCCUUAAAAACCUUCUUUCUAAAUUUUAAGAAAGUCGCAUAUACAAGACCCGAAGCCGGGUGAUCUAGCCAUGACCAGGUUGAACCCUCGAGAAAUCGAGGGGGAGGACCGAACCCACGAGCCGUGCAAAACUCGGGGAAGAGUUGUGGUUAGCGGUGAAAUUCCAAUCGAACUCGGCAAUAGCUGGUUCUCCUCGAAAUAGCUUUUGGGCUAGCCUCGAGCGUUUCUUUCUGGGGGUAGAGCACUGAAUGAGGAUAGGUCGCAAGAUACUGUUCUUAACCAAACUCCGAAUACCAGAAAAUUAAGCUCGGGAGUCAGACUAUGGGCGCUAAGGUUCAUCAGUCUAAAGGGAAACAGCCCUAAUCGCAAGCUAAGGUCCCUAAAUAUAUGCUAAGUGUGAAAGGCGGUGUUGCGACUGUAACAACUAGGAGGUUGGCUUAGAAGCAGCCAUCCUUUAAAGAAAGCGUAACAGCUCACUAGUCAAGUUGCCGCGCGCCGAAAAUUUAUCGGGGCUAAGCAUAUUACCGAAGCUGCGGGUUUUCUGCCUUCGGGCAGAGAGCGGUAGAGGAGCGUUCUAAAUCCGCUGAAGUUCACGCCGUGAGGCGGAGUGGAGGAUUUAGAAGAGAGAAUGUUGACAUGAGUAGCAUAAAGGCAGGCGAAAACCCUGCCCACCAAAAAUUCAAGGUUUCCUGGGCAACGCAAAUCGACCCAGGGUUAGUCGGUCCUAAGACGAGGCCGGUGUAAUGCCGGCGUAGCCGAUGGAUGAGCUGGUUAAUAUUCCAGCACUGCCGUAAUCUUCCGAUGGGGAGACGCGGUUUCAAAGUUUGAGCGUUUCUAUGGUAUGAGCGUUAAUGGCGUUGGCAAUAGAUCCAGGCAAAUCCGGAUCAAUGUUUUCCGAUGUCGUUAAAAGACGAAGCCUCUGGUGGAGUCAAUUCAAAUGGCCAAACCGCCCAGAAAAACCUCUAGGGUCGCCGCAAGGCGAGUCGGAUUAUGGCAACCGUACCGCAAACCGACACAGGUGAAUAAGUCGAGUAGACUAAGGUGUACGAGAGAACCUUCGUUAAGGAACUCGGCAAAAUAGCGGUCGUAAGUUCGCAAUAAGACUUGCCCCCACCAGGUGGGGGCCGCAGCUAAAGAAUUCAAGUGACUGUUUAACAAAAACACAGCUCCCUGCUAACUCUAACGAGGAUGUAUAGGGGGUGAUGCCUGGCCAGUGUCCGAACGUUAAGGGGAGAAGUCAUCGCUUAGCGGAGCGCGGGCAGCUUUGAUCCGAAGCGCGGAUGAACGCCGGCGAUAACUAUAAUCGUCCUAAGGUAGCGAAAUCCCUUGUCGGGUAAGUUCCGACCUGCACGAAUGGCAUAACAACUUGAAUACUGUCUCAACGAAGGACUCGGUGAAAUUGCAAGAUGAGUAAAGAUGCUCAUUAACCAUAGUUGGACGAAAAGACCCCGUGAAGCUUUACUAUAGCUUGAUAUUGAGUUAGGGGCGCGCUUGUUCAGAAUAGGUGGGAGUUCGCCGCAAGGCGGACGCCAGUGAGAUACCACCCUUGUGUGCUUUUAAUUCUAACCCUUGUCCGUGAAGCCGGACUGGGGACAGUAUCUGGUGGGUAGUUUGUCUGGGGCGGAUGCCUCCCAAAAGGUAACGGAGGCGUUUACAAAGGUUGGCUAUCCCGGAAUGGAAACCCGGGAGAUAGCGUAAAGGCACAAGCCAGCUUUACUGCGAGACCUACGAGUCAAGCAGUCGCGAAAGCGGAACUUAGUGAUCCGACCGUGCGAUAUAGGACGGCGGAAGCUCAUCGGAUAAAAGCUACUCCGGGGAUAACAGGCUAGUCUUGCCCAAGCGUCCACAGCGACGGCAAGGUUCGGCACCUUAAGCGAUGUCGGCUCGUCGCAUCCUGGGGGUGGAGGCUCCCAAGGGUUGGGCUGUUCGCCCAUUAAAGCGGCACGCGAGCUGGGUUCAGACCGUCGUAAGACAGGUCGGUCUCCUAUCUACUAUGGUCGUGGAAACUUGAGAAGGACACUCUUUAGUACGAGAGGACCGAGAGUGACGAAGCUCUAGUGUACCGACUGUCCCACCAGGGGCAUCGCCGGGUAGCUAUCUUCGGUUAGGAUAAACGCUGAAAGCAUCUAAGCGUGAAGCCGUCUUCAAGAUUAAGUUUCAUAGGCUCCCAAGAGAAUAUUGGGUUGAUAGGCCCUAGGUGUAAGGUCCGCAAGGACUUCAGCCGAGGGGUACUAAUAAGCCGUAUGAUUUUAGGCAGGGUAAAAUUAGGCGGUCUAGAGGGCGUGGCGGAAAGGAUUAGGCAGACUAAUAAAAUAAUUAUUGUGGGCUGCGGUACGG